GAUGAACGCUGGCGGCGUGCCUAAUACAUGCCAGUCGAGCGAACGGACUAGAAGCUUGCUUCUCUGAUGUUAGCGGCGGACGUGUGAGUAACACGUGGAUAACCUACCUAUAAGACUGGGAUAACUUCGGGAAACCGGAGCUAAUACCGUAUAAUAUUUUGAACCGCAUGGUUCAAAAGUGAAAGACGGUCUUGCUGUCACUUAUAGAUGGAUCCGCGCUGCAUUAGCUAGUUGGUAAGGUAACGGCUUACCAAGGCAACGAUGCAUAGCCGACCUGAGAGGGUGAUCGGCCAGACUGGAACUGAGACACGGUCCAGACUCCUACGGGAGGCAGCAGUAGGGAAUCUUCCGGAAUGGGCGAAAGCCUGACGGAGCAACGCCGCGUGAGUGAUGAAGGUCUUCGGAUCGUAAAACUCUGUUAUUAGGGAAGAACAUAUGUGUAAGUAACUGUGCACAUCUUGACGGUACCUAAUGAGAAAGCCCCGGCUAACUACGUG
RNAcentral lists this ribosomal RNA (497 nucleotides) under uncultured bacterium. RNAcentral describes it as "partial 16S ribosomal RNA". It matches the Rfam family "Bacterial small subunit ribosomal RNA", at positions 28 to 507 of the family's 1533-position model. The record is from RNAcentral.